CGUACUUCGUCCUGUUCAUGAAUCCCGUUGUUCCUCAUCAUGUUCAUGUAUCUCGUCAUUCCUCGUCAUGUUCAUGUGUCCCGUCACCUCUCGCCACGUUCCUCGAUUUGUUUUAGCAAACAGCAGAGGAGGCAGGUGGCUUGACUGACUUAACUGUGAAACUACAAUAAGCACAGUCUUGAGAUAUCAAGAAAAAAGACCAAGAACACGUUUUUUGAAGCCACCUUGACCUUUGACCACCAAAAUCCACCAAAUUUAUUGAGAUAUUGCUUUCACGGGAAUGGGACGUACAGACAGACGGACAACCUGAAAGCAUAAUGCCUCCGGUCACAGGCUAUUGCCGGCGCAGAGGAAUAAAAAGUGCUGGCAGCACAGUCAAGAAGGCAACAUAACUGUUGUAAAAGUAUCCAUUUAGCACUGGAAUUGGAAAAAACAAAUGAUACCCAACCCUAUUUAAAAGGUAGUUGGUCUGUAUUUAUAUAGCACUCUUCUAGUCUUGAUGACCACUCAAAUGGCUUUGCAGGAGAGUUUUGCCAUUAACACACACAUUCAUACAGUGCACCUAUGGGCAGCACAUUUUUCUAUGAGGGGCCAUUCAGGGUUCAGUAUUUACAAGUUCAGUAUUUACAAGUGAUUGCUUUCAUAGUGUCACAUUGUUUUCACAUUGAUUAUAGUCACACAUGGGUAUAGCAGUAAAGAAGUUGUAGAACAUUAACUGAACCUUUCUUUUUCACUACGUGCCUGAACUUAUCGGCCGUGUCCUAGCUUGUCCUGUUACUGUUACUGUGGAUCAGGUGAGAAUGUGGCCAAAGCCUGUUUAUUUCGACUCCCAAGGAAGUUUCAGGGUCAACCAUUAAUAUGUCUAAAAGUGGUCUAGCCCCAGGUGAAGAAUAUUGAAGUGAGCAGCAACAAAAGCUGCAGAGAUAAGUCAGAGCCAAGGACAAACAGAUUGGCACGCUCUAUUCAGAUGCCAGAGCGGGAGACUAUGAGAUUAUCUGUAAACAUGAAUUCUUCCUCCAAUAUUUGAUGGGGGCUGAAAAAGAUCCAUAUUUCGCUGGAGAGACCUGUGAUGCACACACAGAAUUGAUUAAAAGGUCUUAAAAAAAUUGAAACAUCAUUAUUCAGGCACUACAGAGCUUGCACACACACAAACUGCAGGGGGUUAAAGGGACACUGAAGAAAAGAAGCGUACACAUGUGCUUGUGUGUACGCAUGUCUAUUUGUGUUCAGUACAAUUCAGCCCUGCAGACGCACUUGAGGGCGUCGUGUUGGCAUGACGGUCAGAAUUCAUUGAGACUCUCCUACCAAGGGGAACCUAGGAAACCUGCUGUUUAUCAAAAUAUGGGCAAAAUAUGAUUCAAUGUUUUCAUCAUGUGACUUUAUUUGAUACAGUACUGCAUUGCCUAGUUUAUCCAAGGACGUAUAAAAAGAAAUGUUCAACUCGGUCUGUAGACUGAACACUGCCCUGCCCCUGAUGACUGCUCUAGAGCAUUGGUCCCCUGUUUGUUCCAUUUUAUUAAUACUGCGCAGACCUAUUUCAUAUAAGUGUGGGGGCCCUAAGGGUGGGAAUGAGCACUGUAACCCCCCUCCCCUUGAAAUGUCUAUUUGAAAUGUCUAUUUGAAAUGAAUGUCAUGCAUUUCUACAUUUUCUUCACCAUAUGCAAAUAAUAAUGAGUUCAAAAUGUACAGUGCAUCACCAAGUAUAAAGCAUAAAGCAAUCACAGUUUAUUUUAUUGUCUGUUUAAAUUAACACAGUUUUCCAUAUUGUUGUGGUUCAGGAGUUGAGAAGGAGUUGAUCUAGUCUCUG
This is a long non-coding RNA of Paralichthys olivaceus (Japanese flounder), 1807 nucleotides long. RefSeq lists it as uncharacterized. The record is from RefSeq and is a predicted model, not a curated record. NCBI's taxonomy places the organism in Eukaryota, Metazoa, Chordata, Actinopteri, Pleuronectiformes, Paralichthyidae.